Molecule: long non-coding RNA, 276 nt
Filed under: Medicago truncatula (barrel medic)
Lineage: Eukaryota; Viridiplantae; Streptophyta; Magnoliopsida; Fabales; Fabaceae
Description: long non-coding RNA (MTRU_LNC004532)
Source: RNAcentral
GAGCGGCAGCAGCAACACCAGAAACCCUAGAAGAAGGAAACAUGCCUGCAGGUCAUGGUUUACGAUCCCGCACCAGAGAUUCAUUCUCUCGUCCCUUCCGCAAGAAGGGAACAAUAGCCUUAGCCACCUACCUCAGGACCUAUCAUAUCGGCGACUAUGUCGAUAUUAGAGUUAACGGAGCUGUGCACAAAGGUAUGCCGCACAAAUUCUACCACGGUCGUACCGGUCGUGUCUGGAAUGUGACUAAGCGUGCCAUUGGUGUUGAAGUCAAUAAGC